Molecule: ribosomal RNA, 700 nt
Filed under: uncultured bacterium
Lineage: Bacteria
Description: bacterial SSU rRNA
Rfam family: Bacterial small subunit ribosomal RNA
Source: RNAcentral
AGUGGCGGACGGGUGAGUAACGCGUAAGAAUCUAACUUCAGGACGGGGACAACAGUGGGAAACGACUGCUAAUACCCGAUGUGCCGCAAGGUGAAACCUAAUUGGCCUGGAGAAGAGCUUGCGUCUGAUUAGCUAGUUGGUGGGGUAAAGGCCUACCAAGGCGACGAUCAGUAGCUGGUCUGAGAGGAUGAGCAGCCACACUGGGACUGAGACACGGCCCAGACUCCUACGGGAGGCAGCAGUGGGGAAUUUUCCGCAAUGGGCGAAAGCCCGACGGAGCAACGCCGCGUGAGGGAGGAAGGUCUUUGGAUUGUAAACCUCUUUUCUCAAGGAAGAAGUUCUGACGGUACUUGAGGAAUCAGCCUCGGCUAACUCCGUGCCAGCAGCCGCGGUAAUACGGGGGAGGCAAGCGUUAUCCGGAAUUAUUGGGCGUAAAGCGUCCGCAGGUGGUCAGCCAAGUCUGCCGUCAAAUCAGGUUGCUUAACGACCUAAAGGCGGUGGAAACUGGCAGACUAGAGAGCAGUAGGGGUAGCAGGAAUUCCCAGUGUAGCGGUGAAAUGCGUAGAGAUUGGGAAGAACAUCGGUGGCGAAAGCGUGCUACUGGGCUGUAUCUGACACUCAGGGACGAAAGCUAGGGGAGCGAAAGGGAUUAGAUACCCCUGUAGUCCUAGCCGUAAACGAUGGAUACUAGGCGUGGCUU